This 468-nucleotide ribosomal RNA is filed under the name uncultured bacterium. RNAcentral's name for it is "partial 16S ribosomal RNA". It matches the Rfam family "Bacterial small subunit ribosomal RNA", at positions 28 to 507 of the family's 1533-position model. The record is from RNAcentral.
GACGAACGCUGGCGGCGUGCUUAACACAUGCAAGUCGAACGGAAAGGCCCUGCUUUUGUGGGGUGCUCGAGUGGCGAACGGGUGAGUAACACGUGAGUAACCUGCCCUUGACUUUGGGAUAACUUCAGGAAACUGGGGCUAAUACCGGAUAGGAGCUCCUGCUGCAUGGUGGGGGUUGGAAAGUUUCGGCGGUUGGGGAUGGACUGGCGGCUUAUCAGCUUGUUGGUGGGGUAGUGGCUUACCAAGGCUUUGACGGGUAGCCGGGCUGGGAGGGUGACCGGCCACAUUAGGACUGAGAUGCGGCCCAGACCAGUACGGGAGGCAGGAGAGGGGUAUAGUGCACAAGGGGCGGAAGGCUGAUGCAGCAACGCCGCGUGGGGGAUGACGGCCUUCGGGUUGUAUUCCGCUUUCGCCUGUGACGAAGCGUGAGUGACGGUAAUGGGUAAAGAAGCACCGGCUAACUACGUG